This 28-nucleotide non-coding RNA is filed under the name Homo sapiens (human). Lineage: Eukaryota; Metazoa; Chordata; Mammalia; Primates; Hominidae. The record is from RNAcentral.
UCCUUGUCCUGAGCCAGCCUGCUUAUGU